RNAcentral lists this long non-coding RNA (2062 nucleotides) under Solanum lycopersicum (tomato). RNAcentral describes it as "long non-coding RNA (SLYC_LNC000543)". The record is from RNAcentral. Lineage: Eukaryota; Viridiplantae; Streptophyta; Magnoliopsida; Solanales; Solanaceae.
CCAAGUACUCCCACUUCUCUCUAAAUUCUCUCUCUACCCAACCUCCAUUAAAGAAACAUUAAAGCUUCAAGAAGAAGACUAAAUAUCCAAGUUUCCUACUCAAUUCGUGGAUAAAUUCUUUAUCAAGGUAUGUAUUCUUUCAUUCUUGGUAUUCCUUUCCUCAAGAGAUCUAUUCAAAGAUGAUUUCACAUCCCCUAAAGAUCUAGGUUUUCUUUACAAGUGAUUCUUCUUUGAAAAAUGAAUUUAUGAAUUAAUUAUGACUAAUUAUGAAUAUUUAGGAUUAUUUAAGUGUGUAAUGAUGGUUAAUUGUUAUUAUUCACUUAAUAUCCCCUUAGACCCAUGUUCUUCCCCAAUUUUAUAAAUCAUGGAUUGAAAGUGAUGAAUUGAUCGAUGAUUAUGCAUAUCGAAAUUGUUAUAUUGAUGUUAACUGUGUUAUUAUUACAUGAAUUACCUUAUAUGAUGUCAUGAUUGGGUUUAUGAUCUAAUUCUUUAAGAACUCAUGAAUGUCCCUCUUCUUCUAACUCUAACUCUUGAAUUAUGUUAAUUUAUGACUAGAGGUGAUGUAAUUGAGUAUGUUAUUGUAUAAUUGACUAUCUUAUGAUGAUGAUAAUUGAUUCUAUGGGUACAUAUUAUUGAUUUUGGAUUAAGUCUUAAAUGGGAUUCAUGGAGGCCAUUGGUAAGAUCUUAAAGUCUUGUCUAUGUUGUUGUAGAAUUGUUGGCCUAGUUUUGGUAAUGUUGGUUAAUUGAAGUAUAAUGAACUUAUGAAUGUGUGAUCAUGCUAUGAAUAUGACGGUUCUGAGAUGAUGAUAAGUGUAGUAUUAUGCGGGAUUGAAGAUAAUUCCUAUAUGCAUCUUGUUACUAAGCUAUGAUGUAAUGUUCUCACAUGAUGUUGAGUUUGUGAUGAAAGAACUUUCUCAUACUAGAACCUUGAGCUAUGAACAUGUUAUAUGAGGGGUUAAACUUCUAAUACCUAAGCUAUGAAUUAAUGUUAAGAAAGACUUAAAAAUACUUCAAGAAGGUAAUUUAGCUUAGCACCGAGUGAACUUGACAUUGAGAGGUGUUCCUUCACAAAGGACAUGAGGUGGAAACUGUAAUGCUAAUUAGCAUAAAAAAGGGUUUCUAGUAACAACCUCCUAGUUCCUUAACUAUGUUCCCCCAUAGAAAACCUAGCUAGUAGAUCCACCUAGAUGCUAUUAUGAUGUAUAUUCCCUACCUUGACAAGUAGGACACCCUUCUUUCGGUGUGAAAAAUUGACACCGGAUUCCAUGUUUAGCUCACACGGUCUAAUGUCGGUUAUGGUGAAGUUUCUCGAAAGUAAAAUAAAUGAAUGAAAGUAAUAAUAUGAACACUAACUAGGUUUACUUAAGAGGUGUUACUUAGUGUAGGCAAUGAUAUGGGACUUUACUUAUACAUUGCACAAGUAGACCUUGAGGGGAAUUCUAGGGUGGAAUCUUUAUGUAUGAAUAAUAUAUAUGAUGUUGGUUUCACUUGCUAUACAUGAUGUUCAUCUAAAUUGUUAUGUAUGAUGUUGACUACACUUGUUAUGAUAAGGUAUGAGGUAAAGACAAUGCUUAUGGUCUCUUUGCUAGUUUACUUGAUUUAUGUGGAGUUAUGAGCUUUAAAUACUCAUUGCACUAGUAGACUUGGAUUGGGGUCAUGAGUAAGGUCUUGUGAUGUAAUGAUGAAAUGGACUCAAAUUAUGAAAUGUUGAUUAUGUAUUUAUUAUGAUGUUUCUCUUGAACAUGAAUAUGAAUAUGUCUUAUGGUUGUCUUGAUAUGGACUUGCAUAUGUUCUUGGAAUGUGCACAAAGAUUUUAAAGUGAACUUAGCAUGUUUAUUCCCAAAUGUCUCUUCAUUCAUGGUUUUAAUGUGUUACUUGCAUAUAUCCAUACUUAGUAUAUGUGGUUUGUACUAACCUAUCCCUUUUAUUUUCUACACAAAAUGUGGGUUCGGGCAAUUGAAGAGUUUCUAGUCCUUUCCUGAAGAACUUGGAUUGCGAUCUCCAAGUUGGUGAGUCCUUAAGUCCGAGGAUGGUGAUGAUCAAUUCUAGUUUCAUUUUUUCC